RNAcentral lists this ribosomal RNA (330 nucleotides) under uncultured Aminicenantes bacterium. RNAcentral's name for it is "bacterial SSU rRNA". It matches the Rfam family "Bacterial small subunit ribosomal RNA", at positions 1055 to 1382 of the family's 1533-position model. The record is from RNAcentral. Lineage: Bacteria; Candidatus Aminicenantota.
UCAGCUCGUGUCGUGAGAUGUUGGGUUAAGUCCCGCAACGAGCGCAACCCUUGCCCUUAGUUGCCAGCGGGUAAGUGCCGGGCACUCUAAGGGGACGUGCCCCGGAUAACGGGGAGGAAGGCGGGGAUGACGUCAAGUCAGCAUGGCCUUUAUGUCCAGGGCUACACACGUGCUACAAUGGGCGGUACAGAGGGAAGCAAAGCCGCGAGGUGGAGCUAAUCCUUAAAGCCGUCCUCAGUUCGGAUCGCAGGCUGCAACUCGCCUGCGUGAAGUCGGAAUCGCUAGUAAUCGCGGAUCAGCUACGCCGCGGUGAAUACGUUCUCGGGCCUU